CUGCGGAGGGAUCAUUG
Molecule: ribosomal RNA, 17 nt
Filed under: Cytospora schulzeri
Lineage: Eukaryota; Fungi; Ascomycota; Sordariomycetes; Diaporthales; Cytosporaceae
Also listed under: 6 other names
Description: partial 18S ribosomal RNA
Source: RNAcentral